This is a non-coding RNA of Rattus norvegicus (Norway rat), 2808 nucleotides long. NCBI's taxonomy places the organism in Eukaryota, Metazoa, Chordata, Mammalia, Rodentia, Muridae. The record is from RefSeq and is a predicted model, not a curated record.
UAAUGAGAAUACUCAGUAAUGGUCUCCCCUCCCCACCCCCAUUGCUUGGGGGAGCAGGAACAGGCUGAGGCCCUGAGCAGAGGGAGCACAUGGCUAGAGCCUGUAACACGCAAUGGAAGGAAGGCGGAAGAGAAGCCUUCCUUCCUCUUCUGAGAGUCUGAGUCCCCUGAAAAGUAGGUUUUUGUGGGCAGUGUGCUUCUUGGGCUGGACGCUGCCAAAUGGGAAGAAGUGGAUGAGAAAGUGGGAGGAAAGGAAAACCCACGGCAAGGGAGUAAAGCCAGGUUACAGGAGACCGAGAAACUCAGCUGCCCGUCUUAACUCUGGUGGGGAUGGUACCUGGAGCCUUUGACAACUUUCCGCGUGGAAGAUAUGCUGGAAGACAUCUGUGAGAGCUUAGACUAGCCCGGGGGACAGUAUCGUGUACCUAUCCCUUCUGGAUAUUGCAUUAUUCAUCCACGGAAUAAUUUUUCCAUCUGGAUUUGACUGGAAGACAAGAGCUAUGCACAUGGGCAAGGAGUUGAAGUGGAGAACUUGUGUGAAUGAAGGAAAACAGAUACUAAGUCUGGCUUUGGGCAUAUUGGAUCUGUGGUACAGUGGCUGAAUAUUCAAGUGCAAAAAUAAAGUAGAACUGAUUUUUUUCUACAUGACUGGAAGAGAAUUAAAAAAAAAAAAAAAAAAAAACACCGUGAAAUUGGAGAGUCUAACCAAAAUCAGAUAAAGAGUUUAGGAAAGAAAAAAAAAAAAAAUUGAACACUCCGCCACUCUCUUCUUGUUUGAUGUCUAAUUACUAUGUGGGAACAGAGUUUAUUCACAUCGUUUGUAUUUUCUUCAGCUGGCAUCGUGGGGAACAAUAACUGGGAUUGUGAUGGAAAUGUUAUUUAAGUUUGCUAAAUGAAAAUAAAAAUAAACGAGAAGGGAAUAGAAAAUGCUAGGAAAUACGGGUAAAUAUUUUAGCUUGGGGGGGUGUGAUUUGCAAAACUCUUAACUAUCGUGUAAUUGAAUUCUGUGAAAGGAUUUAUGGGCAACGUGACUGAUGUUGGGAGGAUUCUAAGACAGUGUUUUAAUUAUUUGGAAGGGAAACAGGUCCUCAGAGGAAAGACCACCUUCCUAUCCAUCCAUAAAAGUUAAAGGAAAACUUCACCAGACCACCAAGAUUGCAGUUCAUAGGCUUAAGGACUAAGGUCGCCUGAAUUCCUUAGAAGAGUCCUGAAGACGCUGGCCCCGUUCCUCCAUCACUGCUGUAGCGCUCAUCCCUUCACCUUUUAUUUAUUUUCUCUCCCUUUGCUUCUUUUAUCCCCUCUUCUUGUGCCUUUUGGAUAGCAACUAUAAAGCCAUGGUUAUGAAAUGGCCAUAAAACUUUAUUUGAAGCAGAGAUGAUUAUGUGGUUGGGGGGGGGGGGGAGGACUAAAUAUAAAGAAACAACUCUAAGUUGUUAAGAAAGAGAAGAAGACCGUUAACAGCAACAUCUUGAUCCUGUUAAGAGAUGAGCUGAAGCCAUCCAAAGCAUGCAGGGAACAAGGUGAUAAUAAGAGAAAAUGUGUUUCACAGACAAAGCAGCAGACAGCAGGGGAGAAUUGCUCAGGGAGAAAGGUGAGCUCUUGGGAGAGGGUGCAGGAAGGACUUUAAUCCUCUGAAUCAUACUGGUGGGAGCACGGGUGGCUAUUUGAACUCCUCUGCAACUUCAGCGGGGCCUCGAAAAAUUGGAUCUUGAGGAAGGAGAACAAAAGAAAAGUUCACUGUGAGUUCCUUUCACCAGAGCAGGGGAAAAUGCUUUGAGGUCAACUCUAAAAGGUGGUAAUGUUAGGAAGUGGAACUGAAUAACAGAAAAAACAGUAGUAAUGAUGACGUGUCAGGUCACUGGGAGCUCGCCUAGCAUAACGUGGUCAACCACCAUUGACCAGCUCAUGCUGUGCGCAAAUCCCAGCAUGCACCGUGGUUCCCAUCACCCCUAACCAGCAUGGCAAGCUAAACUCUCAGGAUAAGGCCUGGGCUGUUCCUGAGGAUGUUUGCUCACUUGACAAAUAAUUGGGUUCUCCAUGUGCCUGCCAGGGCUAACGCUGGGAGGUGUAGCUAGAUGCUUAAUGUGAUUGGACCAGCUGGUUCUGAAAGGCCAGAAAAUGAAUCCUAGAAAAUGGAUGCUGACCCUGGAAGGACACAGGCCUAAUCCAAACCAGGAGUGUUGAUGCAAAGAGAGCCAACAUGGUAACCAGAAAAAACGUGUGCGUGCUCAAGUCCUCAUGAGCAGGGUGCCAUACAUUGUAGUCUGGAUGCUAAUGAGACUGGAAUGUUGGAAGGUAAUUAGGUCACUAGGACAUGAUGGUACAGUCCCAUGAAUGGGCUUAGUGUCCUUAUAAAAGAGACCCCAGAGAGCUCUCUAGUUUUUUCCCUAUUGUAUGAACACAUAAGACAACCUCUUAGGAAUCCAGAAGAGAAUUCCAUAUGUGACAGUCUAUAUUCCAAAUAGAUUAACAUAGAACAUGAUUUUUUUAUUUAUGUUUUUUGUGUGGAGAUUUUGGCCAAGGACUGUAUCUUUGAACACCUAGCUUAACAGUACCAGAACCCAACUAUGUUGCCAUACUGACCUCAAGACUUCUGGCCUCCAGACAAUGAGGAAGAAACUUGUUUAUAAACCAUCCAAUCUCUGGUUCUUUGUUAUAGCAUAGCGGCCUAGGUAGACCAGGGUGUCCUUAAGAGGAAAGAAUGGCAGCUGCUAGGCUUUCAUUCUUUUUUUUUUUUUUUGGUUUUUUUUUUUUUUUUUUUUUUCGGAGCUGGGGACCGAACCCAGGGCCUUGCGCUUCCUAGGUAAGC